Molecule: non-coding RNA, 49 nt
Organism: Macaca mulatta (Rhesus monkey)
Lineage: Eukaryota; Metazoa; Chordata; Mammalia; Primates; Cercopithecidae
Source: Rfam
GGGAAAUGGACAGAGGGGCCAGUCCCAGGCCCCAGUUCAAAAUGGGGCA